RNAcentral lists this ribosomal RNA (402 nucleotides) under uncultured bacterium. Its description in RNAcentral is "bacterial SSU rRNA". It matches the Rfam family "Bacterial small subunit ribosomal RNA", at positions 28 to 422 of the family's 1533-position model. The record is from RNAcentral.
GAUGAACGCUAGCGGCAGGCUUAAUACAUGCAAGUCGAGGGGCAGCAGGGGUGUAGCAAUACACUCACUGGCGACCGGCAAACGGGUGCGGAACACGUACGCAACUUACCCAUAACUGGGGAAUAGCCCGGGGAAACCCGGAUUAAUACCUCGUAACAUAUUGAGAGGGCAUCUUCUUAAUAUUAUGGCUCCGGCGGUUAUGGAUGGGCGUGCGCCUGAUUAGGUAGUUGGCGGGGUAACGCCCACCAAGCCUGCGAUCAGUAACUGGUGUGAGAGCACGGCCAGUCACACGGGCACUGAGACACGGGCCCGACUCCUACGGGAGGCAGCAAGUAAGGAAUAUUGGUCAAUGGACGCAAGUCUGAACCAGCCAUGCCGCGUGAAGGAUGAAGGUCCUCUGGA